AGAGUUUGAUCCUGGCUCAGGACGAACGCUGGCGGCGUGCCUAACACAUGCAAGUCGAACGGAGAUAUGAUUUCGGUUGUAUCUUAGUGGCGAACGGGUGAGUAACGCGUGAGCAACCUGACUCUUAGAGGGGGAUAACACUCGGAAACGAGUGCUAAUACCGGAUAAGACACAUUAAAGAAGAAAGGUGGCCUCUUUACAAUGCUACCACUUACAGAUGAAUCCGCGUCCCAUUAGCCAGUUGGUGGGGUAAAGGCCUACCAAAGCGACGAUGGGUAGCCGGCCUGAGAGGGUGACCGGCCACACUGGAACUGAGACACGGUCCAGACUCCUACGGGAGGCAGCAGUGGGGAAUAUUGCGCAAUGGGGGAAACCCUGACGCAGCAACGCCGCGUGAAGGAUGAAGGUUUUCGGAUCGUAAACUUCUUUGAUGGGGGACGAAACAAAUGACGGUACCAUAAGAGGAAGCCACGGCUAACUACGUGCCAGCAGCCGCGGUAAUACGUAGGUGGCAAACGUUGUCCGGAAUUACUGGGCGUAAAGGGCGAGUAGGUGGUUUAUUAAGUCAGAAGUGAAAACUCCGGGCUCAACUCGGAGACUGCUCCUGAAACUGGUAGACUUGAGUGCAAGAGAGGGCAAUGGAAUUCCAUGUGUAGCGGUAAAAUGCGUAGAUAUAUGGAGGAACACCAGUGGCGAAGGCGGUUGCCUGGCCUGUAACUGACGCUGAGGCACGAAAGCGUGGGGAGCAAACAGGAUUAGAUACCCUGGUAGUCCACGCUGUAAACGAUGAUAACUAGCUGUCGGCGAUACACAGUCGGUGGCCAAGCGAAAGCAUUAAGUAAUCCACCUGGGGAGUACGUUCGCAAGAAUGAAACUCAAAGGAAUUGACGGGGGCCCGCACAAGCGGAGGAGCAUGUGGUUUAAUUCGAUGAUACGCGAGGAACCUUACCUGGGCUCGAACGUAUAGGGAAUUAUGCCGAAAGGUAUAAGCCAGCAAUGGCCGUAUACGAGGUGCUGCAUGGUUGUCGUCAGCUCGUGCCGUGAGGUGUUAGGUUAAGUCCUGCAACGAGCGCAACCCUUACCUUUAGUUGCCAGCAUGUAAUGAUGGGGACUCUAAAGGAACUGCCUACGCAAGUAGUGAGGAAGGUGGGAUGACGUCAAAUCAGCACGGCCCUUAUGUCCAGGGCGACACACGUGCUACAAUGGCCGAUACAAAGGGCAGCUACCAGGUGACUGGAUGCGAAUCUUUAAAAUCGGUCUCAGUUCGGAUCGGAGUCUGCAACCCGACUCCAUGAAGUUGGAUUCGCUAGUAAUCGCGCAUCAGCAACGACGCGGUGAAUACGUUCCCGGGCCUUGUACACACCGCCCGUCAAGCCAUGGAAGCUGGGGGUGCCUGAAGUCUGCCACCGCAAGGAGCGGCCUAGGGUAAAACCAGUGACUGGGGUUAAGUCGUAACAAGGUAACC
RNAcentral lists this ribosomal RNA (1465 nucleotides) under uncultured bacterium. RNAcentral describes it as "16S ribosomal RNA". It matches the Rfam family "Bacterial small subunit ribosomal RNA". The record is from RNAcentral.